UACGUAGGGGGCUAGCGUUGUCCGGAUUUAUUGGGCGUAAAGAGCGUGUAGGCGGCCAGGUAGGUCUGCUGUGAAAACUCGAGGCUCAACCUCGAGACGUCGGCGGAAACCAUCUGGCUAGAGUCCGGAAGAGGAGAGUGGAAUUCCUGGUGUAGCGGUGAAAUGCGCAGAUAUCAGGAAGAACACCCGUGGCGAAGGCGGCUCUCUGGGCAUGUCCUGACGCUGAGGAGCGAAAGUGUGGGGAGCGAACAGG
Molecule: ribosomal RNA, 253 nt
Filed under: uncultured bacterium
Lineage: Bacteria
Description: partial 16S ribosomal RNA
Rfam family: Bacterial small subunit ribosomal RNA
Source: RNAcentral